CCCUUUUAUAGUGUUCAUCCAACAGAGGAUGAGGAGAACAGUGGGUGCUUGUAUGAGAUAUGUAUCGAUAGGGGAGGACACAGAUUCGGAGCGAUAGACAUCUCUAGAGAGAGAGAUAGAUAUGUUGUGAGCAAUGGGCAUAAAGAAUCUUGGACGUGUGGAUUGCGCGCUCAAAAUGAGCAGUGCUAUAGCGCAUAAUCAUAUCCCUGUCGUUUAGCUCAUUUUCUUUUUUUUUCUUCAGAAGAAAUGCUCUUUUUUUUUCAUUAUUUUGGUAUUGUAUAUUCUCGUGGUGGGUCAGGUCUGAAUAAUCCUAGCUACAGUCUCAGUCACCUGCCCGAAAGCAAAAGCACUGAGAGAGGCUAGCUACGAGGAGGGGAAUGGGAUCUACCUCCUGAAGAAACAAUACAAUUAAGUGAUUAAAAUUGGCUACUUUUAAUCCUUAAACAUUGUGGGAAGCCAGGUUAAACAUCAAGGAGCUCCCAUGUCGAUUGAGGGUUCUGUACGUGUUUCUUGUUGGCUAUCAGCAAAGUUUGGUGGA
RNAcentral lists this long non-coding RNA (538 nucleotides) under Sorghum bicolor (sorghum). Its description in RNAcentral is "long non-coding RNA (SBIC_LNC014858)". Lineage: Eukaryota; Viridiplantae; Streptophyta; Magnoliopsida; Poales; Poaceae. The record is from RNAcentral.